AAAAACGUAUGAGUAUGUGAAAGAGAUACAUUUGUCAACAAAGAAAUAAAUUUUAUCCCUACAUCACAUGUAUUUAUUUUAGGAUUAGAAAGAAAGAAAAUACUGGUAACUGAUAAGAAAAGAAGCAAAAGAUUGUGCUAGAAUAAUUCUGAAUAGAGUGAAUAUGAUUACAAUGCGAAAUCAUAAAGAAGCUAUAAUUGAUGAAUUAUUAACUAUUGGAGCUGAUGAUGUCAUUUUGAAAUGUUAUCAUACAACAAUAAUAU
Molecule: long non-coding RNA, 263 nt
Organism: Amphimedon queenslandica
Lineage: Eukaryota; Metazoa; Porifera; Demospongiae; Haplosclerida; Niphatidae
Exons: 3
Source: RefSeq, a predicted model, not a curated record